UCAUGUCCAUUGCAUAAAGAAAAUGCAAAGGUAGGAUACUUGCCUGAUUCGCUGAUUACAAAUCUCAACUUAGGUUUUAUCUCUUUAUCACAACCUAUCAAUAAUCAGAUCAUUCGUUCGAUUAGAACAAUAUAUCAUAGCACAUAGUACUGUCUAUUACAGUCAGCACAUAGUCUAAUCACGUAAUCACAUAAUUGCAGUGAUCAUACUUUUAGUUCAUAUUCUGCAUUUGAAAUAUUUUUAUACAUUUUUCAUAUAUCUCAUCCAUGUUUUUACAAUAGCCUUUUCUUUCUUUUAUAAGGUCUGACAUUUGUCGGCGUACAGACAGCUUUAUCGGGUAAUUACUGAGUCUAAGACUCUUAUUCUGCACUUCAACAUCUGUAAAUAUCAGACAUUUUAUUUUUAAUCAUUUUCGAAAUUUCCAGAAAUUGAAAAAUUUAAAAUAAUUCAAAUCUGUCACUAAAGGGCCUAUAGUGAUAUAACUGUUACUAUAGGUGUUCUUCUUCAAAUUCAGAACUUCAUAAUCGGU
RNAcentral lists this long non-coding RNA (529 nucleotides) under Panax ginseng (ginseng). RNAcentral describes it as "long non-coding RNA (PGIN_LNC004597)". Lineage: Eukaryota; Viridiplantae; Streptophyta; Magnoliopsida; Apiales; Araliaceae. The record is from RNAcentral.